RNAcentral lists this ribosomal RNA (499 nucleotides) under Leiogalathea camilla. RNAcentral describes it as "partial 16S large subunit ribosomal RNA". It matches the Rfam family "Bacterial large subunit ribosomal RNA", at positions 1831 to 2597 of the family's 2925-position model. Lineage: Eukaryota; Metazoa; Arthropoda; Malacostraca; Decapoda; Munidopsidae. The record is from RNAcentral.
GUCUGUAUGAAGUUAUAUAGAGUCUAGCCUGCCCAAUGAAAUUAUUUAAAAGGCCGCAGUAAUUUGACUGUGCAAAGGUAGCAUAAUAAUUAGUUUUUUAAUUGAAGGCUUGUAUGAAUGGUUGGACAAAGAAAACUCUGUCUUUUAUAUUAUUUUUGAAUUUUACAUUUAAGUGAAAAGGCUUAAAUAAAUUUAAGGGACGAUAAGACCCUAUAAAUCUUUACGUUGAAUUAAAUUUUUUUAUAAUUUCAUAAAAUUUAGUAAUGUUAUGUUGGGGCAACAUAGAUAUAAAAAAUAACUGUUAAACAAAUUAUACAUUUAUUUAUGAAUAGAUAAAAGAUCCUUAAAAAGAUUAAAAGUUUAAGUUACUUUAGGGAUAACAGCGUUAUUUUUUUUGAGAGUUCCCAUUAAAAAAAAAGUUUGCGACCUCGAUGUUGAAUUAAAAAUUCUUUGUGGUGUAGCAGCUGCAAUAGAAAGUCUGUUCGACUUUUAAAAUUUU